AUUGAACGCUGGCGGCAUGCCUUACACAUGCAAGUCGAACGGCAGCACGGGAGCAAUCCUGGUGGCGAGUGGCGAACGGGUGAGUAAUAUAUCGGAACGUGCCCAGUCGUGGGGGAUAACGCAGCGAAAGCUGUGCUAAUACCGCAUACGAUCUAUGGAUGAAAGCGGGGGAUCGCAAGACCUCGCGCGAUUGGAGUGGCCGAUAUCAGAUUAGGUAGUUGGUGGGGUAAAGGCUCACCAAGCCGACGAUCUGUAGCUGGUCUGAGAGGACGACCAGCCACACUGGAACUGAGACACGGUCCAGACUCCUACGGGAGGCAGCAGUGGGGAAUUUUGGACAAUGGGCGCAAGCCUGAUCCAGCAAUGCCGCGUGCAGGAUGAAGGCCUUCGGGUUGUAAACUGCUUUUGUACGGAGCGAAACGGUCUACUCUAAUACAGUGGGCUAAUGACGGUACCGUAAGAAUAAGC
Molecule: ribosomal RNA, 468 nt
Filed under: uncultured Comamonadaceae bacterium
Lineage: Bacteria; Pseudomonadati; Pseudomonadota; Betaproteobacteria; Burkholderiales; Comamonadaceae
Description: bacterial SSU rRNA
Rfam family: Bacterial small subunit ribosomal RNA
Source: RNAcentral